AACCUCUUCUUUUAGAAAAUUCACGUCCAAUUACCUAACAGAACUCUUCGACCUUGACCAUGGUCUGGAUGACUGAGAAUCUUCAUAGACCAGCAGUACCACUGGAAAUCUUGGGGGCAGUGUUGAGCAGUAUAGCUCAGGUGAACCCAUCGAUAGAACAGCAGGAAGGAGACGUCAGACAUGAUGGAACGCACCACCGCCGUCUCCUGCACUGACUUUGUUCGGACCUGUUUCUGAUCAGGCGCGUUAUCAACACCUCUUCCACUGUCGCCAUGAAGUCAACAUCGCCUCCUAGUGGAGGUGUCAUUCGUCCACAGUUUCUACAUCAGGAGUUCUUCUGAACACCAUCUCUACCCACUGAGGUUGGAAGUUGUGCUGGAGAUGGGAUUCAAACCCACGACGUAGUAGAGCAGGCGCGGAGCCCCGUCUUCUUUACAGAGGUUUUCUUUUUUUUAUUGUUUUUGUGUCAGUGCGUCUGUGCCUCAGUAGUUAGAGUUGUGAGUAGCAGUGGAGUCGGCUGGUAAAGAGCAUCUGGGCUGCGAUUGGCUGUGACAGAAGAGCAGGAGGCGGAGCUCCGGGGAGAUACUGCUGGAGAAAGCUGAGUAAAUCCAGGGGUUGGUGCAUGAGUUCAGACUGGCCAACAACAUCAACAAGGUGGUGCUAUAUCUACACCUCAUGUAUGAGUGGAGUGCAGACAGAAGAUUCCCCAGACCUGCAACUGGGGACAGACGGCAGCCAAGAGAGUGUGUGUGUGACAUCUAAGGUGAGAUUAAAAAGUGUGGGGCAGUUGGAGUGAAAGUGCCCCACCUGCUGGCUGGCAGAGGGGUUUCUCCAGGAACUCCUGGACCACAAGCCUUAAACUUCUAAUUAGUAUUCAAAUGAACGGUAAGGCUGCAAGCACAGCACCAUUGACUUUCAAUGACCUGGUCUACAACUCACCGUUCUGAGGGGGGUUGGGGUCCCAGGCGGCCCACAGUUGGACACAGAAGAACGGGGACCAGCAGAGUGAAUAAACAAUCACUAUGACCAGCGUCAUUUUCACAGUCUUAGACAUGGCUGCUGACACCCCUCCAUCACGAAAAGCGGGGGGGUUGUGCGUGGGAUGGCAGACAGCAGAGGGCGCUGCAGGGUCAGACGACGCCUCCUGCUGCAGGUCAGCUGCCAGGGCAGAGACACAAGGGUUUCAGGACCAACCAUGUGUAAAACCACCAACCUUCCACACUGUCUUUUCUCUUCAUUGCUAUAAAAGAACAUCAUGUUUUGAGGACUUACUUUUUUUUUUUGUCUGUGUUACUGUGUAGUGUAGUAGCACGCAACGUCUGUGUGACUCCUACCAGGUUGAUCAGCACUGAAGCUGCGACGAUUACAGAUCAAACUGACGGAGGUGGCUGUGACGGGGCCCAGAGGAGGGUGCUGACAGGUGGACUCUGGGUCGUAGCUGGUGCUUCCAGCUGGGUUGUUGUUCAAAGGAGCUCCAACGUCCUGGGAGACGCUGUACUUCCCACUGUUGUCUCCCCCUUCACCCGCUCUCUGGCUGUUCUGUCUGGAUGGAGGAGGAGGCGCGGCCAGAGACACACGACAAUCUGACUUCAAAUACAGACUGUUGUGGAUCUCCUUGAAGAUUCGGACCUGGACGGAAAUAAAAUGGCAUCCGAUAACUUUGUCACCGACUGUAAAUAUUGAGAGUACUAUACUUUAAAACUAUUAUGAGAAAAACUUGAAUGACGUACUUUAUCGUCUAAUCCUCAUCACAAACUGCAGUUGUUUGGCUACUACAGUAUCCAAGCGGAAUAGAUAGAAAAUCAUACUGGAACCUGAAACUGUUACUAAUGUGAGAAUGUGUCUGCCUGUGGCUCAGUGUAGCAUUCAUGACAUGAUUCAUAAUUCAUUACUAGGCAACGGGGAAUAAAAGUACAUGUGAUCAUUCUGACUGUCACAGUGUCCCUGUCCUCUGUACCUGGCACACGGUGAUGGUGAAGGCGGGGAGGAUGAAGACGGCCAGGGUCAUCCAGGUCACGUAGGCCUUCAGGCCCCAGGACUCGGCAAAGUUUCCCCAACACUCAUACACGCCUGGAGCUACUUCAGAGCGGGAGAAAAUGAAAACCUGUAGAGCAGUGUGGGACAAACAUUCAUGUGACGGCGUCUUACUUUGACUAAGUUUGAUUAUUCAUUUGUUCAUCUCUUAUUCAUCCUAGUUUUUUAUGACGAGGUACAGCUUAGAUAUAUUUGUAUGUUUGCACAUUCGGUUUGUUUUUUCUUGCUAUAAAGUUAUUAAAUUUUUUUAAACAAUUAAUCAUGAAGGAAAACGUGAAAUAUAUUUAUUAAAUUGGACUUUUCACACCCCAACUCUAAGUAUUUGACAACAGGUUGUUUAUCCUGACCAUAUAUUUUCCAGUUCACUUUGCCAUGUAUUUUCUACCUAAAAAAACUAAUCUCAACAUUCUUUGUCCCUAGAGUUUAGUGUGUGUUUUCAGUACAGUGCCAAAACUUUCAAAAAUGUAAAUGAUCUUGUCUCGACUGACUUAUUCUUCAAUCUUCUACCUGUGGCAGACUGAGCAGCAGUGACAGUACCCAGGCCACUACUAUGAAGUGGUUACAGCGUUGGGUUGCACCGCUUCGGUGCGCCCGAAGGGGGCAGCAGAUCGCAUAGUGGCGGUCCAUUGUCAUGGCCACGAUCAUAUAGGAGGAAGCGAACAUGCCGAGGACCUGGAGGUACUUCACCAGUCGACACAGGAAAUCCGGACCAGGGAAACGGCCCCUGGCGUCCCAGACCAGCUGCGGCAGCACCUGGAGAAGAACAACAGGCGGAGAGAAGAGGGAGAUCUGUCCCGAGGUCGCAGUACGUUGUGGAAAGAAAAUGAAAAAAAGAUUCCAACUUUUGCAAAUUCAAUGUUAAACUUUUUUUUUUUUAUAGUUUUGGUUCCAACAGAGGUUGAAAAACAAUGUAUGUGUACAAGGGUUAGUCACAAUGUCCUAAGACAAAUUGUAACAGUUUUAUAGCAGUAUCGUAGACAAACGAUUUACUUAAUCAGGUUUUUCAACCCUGGAAAAUUAAUGAAUAACUAAUGAACAUAAAUUACAUUUUUUAAUAUUUUUUGUCAAAGCUUUUAUACUGUCAUGAAUUAAUAUAUUUGUAAUUUUAAUUUUAUUUAUUUUCCACUGCGUACUGUGUUACCUGAAACAGAGCAACCACCAGGUCAGCCAGACACAGGUUAAGCAUGAAUUGGUGAAGUGGAUUCCGGUGUCGUCUCCGCUGCCGCAGCAGCACCACCAGCACCAGGCUGUUCCCCAGCAGGGCCAUCACCAAGAUGACGGCCAGUACCACCACCUCGGCCACAGCUAGCAGGUUGUCACGCUCCACAUCUGUGCCGUUAGCACUCGCCGCAGUCAGUGGCUUGACAGAUCCAUGGAUGGACGAGUCUGUUACCGUUGAGGCUGACAUAAUAUCUAGGACAGACACAAGUACAUGGAAUCAACGUCCACACUGGUUCACCAGCAUAGUGUUUAAUUAAACCAGCACACAUUAGGAUAACCACUGGCGACCUCCUUACAGCACUCCAGGAAGAGGCCGUCACUCAGCUUCCUGCUCCAGGGACCGCAGACACAUUAGCAUGUGGCCACAGGUUGUUUUCCGUACACAGAAAAAG
Long non-coding RNA from Cynoglossus semilaevis (tongue sole), 3647 nucleotides. RefSeq lists it as uncharacterized. Lineage: Eukaryota; Metazoa; Chordata; Actinopteri; Pleuronectiformes; Cynoglossidae. The record is from RefSeq and is a predicted model, not a curated record. The transcript has 5 exons.